CAAAACUAUCCAGUACAAGAAAUCUUCAAAACAUAAAUGUCUAGAAGCUAUGUCAGAACUAUCACCCAUGAGAAAACAACUGAAGCCAUUUUUUUGCUGUGGCUGCUGUCAUUGUGUGAUAUGGAGCAAUAUGUGUCUAUUUGUACAGUGCUGCAAAACCUUUAACCCUUUGGAAGCAUUUCCACCACAAGAGGAGAUUCAUCUGCCUUUCUACUCUCAAGCCAGUGAGCCACAAAAUGUUGAUUCCUGAGAAUUUCAUCUCUGAGAGUGUGGAAACUCAAGAGACUUCAGUAGGUCCAUUAAGGAUUUCACCGUUUUUGAGUCUUUGUGGGAAUUUAUUCCCUGACAUUUAGAUGUGACACAUGAGAUUUUGAAAAAAGGAAACAAGGCAAGAUUUGUAGGAAGAGGCAGUAUGUCUUAUUAAAUUAGAUUAGUCUUUAGGUCAGAAAACCCUCACUCUUGUCUGUCUUGUAAAUUUUUAAUUAUUAUUUUAAUUUCAAUUAUCAAUUAUCCUGCUUUUUAUCAAUUUGAAAAAAAGAGAAAGAAUACUUACAAAUCACAUCUCAUUACUUUAAGAGGAAACAGUACAAAAUUAUUACAUAGUUAGAACCGUGCUUCUCAUCUGCAUUUAGUCUUAAAUCUAGAAUUGGUAAAAUUUCUUUCUUUUUAGCUCUGAAGAAUGAAAUAGUUUUCAUGUCAGGGAGAAGCAUUUUACAUUUCUAUGUGCAUGCUCUGGCUAAUGCAUCUCCAUGUGAAAUACUGUGGGGGAAAAAAAAAAAGAAAAAAAAGUGGUUGUUUGGAAGUACAGAAUGAGAAGAAGGGUCUGAGGUCAGUCCCAAGAAAAGCCAUCUCUGUCAGUGUGGACACUCAUACACUAGGAAAUGAGUAGGAGUAAUGUUUCACUUCUUAGCAGCUCAGUGAUAGCAUUUUUCUUUUGAAGCAACCUGGACAGCUCUGGUCCUUUGAUCAGAUCUUUCCUGCCCAGAAUUUGGAUACGUUUUCUGUCAAAAUACAGUUGCAGGUAGCCCUAGGAGAUGUCAACUUCCCAUGUAAAUUAUGCAUAACAUUUGAUUUCCUCCUUGGACUUUAUUGUAAGACUAACAAAACCUUCACAAUCCCCAUACAAAUAUUAGUUUCAGUGUCUUGGGCCAGAUUCUUUUACAUAAUAUUUAGGCACAGUUCUGCCUUUUAAAAAGCUUCCAUGUAGAGAAAUUAAGACUGCUCACAGAGCUUUCAAUCAGAGAAAGUCCAGUUAGAGGGAGUCUUAGGGACCUGACUAAUAAUUAAUGAACCAGACAAUUAAGGGAUUGCAAUUGUAAUAGUGUGGGGUGGAAAAAAUAAAAAAAUAAAAAAGCAAGCCA
RNAcentral lists this long non-coding RNA (1361 nucleotides) under Anser brachyrhynchus (Pink-footed goose). RNAcentral's name for it is "lncRNA (ENSABRG00000009702.1)". The record is from RNAcentral. Lineage: Eukaryota; Metazoa; Chordata; Aves; Anseriformes; Anatidae.